GACGAACGCCGGCGGCGUGCCUAAUACAUGCAAGUCGAGCGGACGGAUGGGAGCUUGCUCCCAGACCGUCAGCGGCGGACGGGUGAGUAACACGUGGGCAACCUGCCUGUAAGACUGGGAUAACUCCGGGAAACCGGGGCUAAUACCGGAUAACUCUUUCCCUCACAUGAGGGAAAGCUGAAAGAUGGCAUCUCGCUAUCACUUACAGAUGGGCCCGCGGCGCAUUAGCUAGUUGGUGAGGUAACGGCUCACCAAGGCGACGAUGCGUAGCCGACCUGAGAGGGUGAUCGGCCACACUGGGACUGAGACACGGCCCAGACUCCUACGGGAGGCAGCAGUAGGGAAUCUUCCGCAAUGGACGAAAGUCUGACGGAGCAACGCCGCGUGAGUGAUGAAGGUUUUCGGAUCGUAAAACUCUGUUGUCAGGGAAGAACAAGUACCGGAGUAACUGCCGGUACCUUGACGGUACCUGACCAGAAAGCCACGGCUAACUACGU
This 497-nucleotide ribosomal RNA is filed under the name uncultured bacterium. RNAcentral describes it as "partial 16S ribosomal RNA". It matches the Rfam family "Bacterial small subunit ribosomal RNA", at positions 28 to 506 of the family's 1533-position model. The record is from RNAcentral.